This 1367-nucleotide long non-coding RNA is filed under the name Helianthus annuus (common sunflower). Its description in RNAcentral is "hypothetical non coding rna". Lineage: Eukaryota; Viridiplantae; Streptophyta; Magnoliopsida; Asterales; Asteraceae. The record is from RNAcentral.
UGAAUCUCAAUUGAUCGUAUCCUCCGCUCAAUUCCCAUCGCCAUCUUCCAGGUUCCACCCGCGAUGGUCAUCUCCUCUAAUCGAUGCCCGCUAGAGCGCCACUGAUGAUUCGCGGUUGAGUUACGGAAGAACCACCAGACAACCAUCAUCACUGCUGGAAUCCUUGUCGGUCGAUUCCUCUUCGCUUCAAUCCUUAUGUCAGCCAUGGACAGGCGUUUCAAAGUGCAGCGCUUUUUGAUUCCUUAACGGUUCGGGAUAAUGUUGGUUUUCUUAUGUAUGAGCAUUCAAGAAUGCCCGAGGAUAAAAUUAAAGAACUUGUUGCAGAAACAUUGGUUGCAGUUGGAUUAAAGGUGGGUAGUUGCACUACCAUGUGGAGUUCAUAAACUUACAAAGGCUUUCAAGCUAGAUCUUGCUAUAUAUUCCAGCUUACAAGAUGCUAAACCUUGCGCACUGGUUGCACUGUGGAAGGCUAACAUGGAUGAAUGGAACUUUAACCAGCCUGAUCUCACAGUGGUCAUUACAUGUUCCAACAGUAAUUUCUCUGCACAUAUAAAUUACAUAUACUUGCUCGUGUAAACUGUCAACUGGGAUGUAUAGUUUGUUCGCUUUUAUAAAUUACAUAUAUUUCUCCAUUUCUUUUAUAUGUAUAAGUUGAAUUUUAUUGGUUAUAAGUAUCAUUUUGUUUUUAUAUGUUUAUUAAUUAGGUGAUUGAUGUAUGAAAUAGUUUUAUCUGCAAAAACAGGUACAGAGUAUGGCAUUUGAUACCGGUACCAAUACCUAAUUUUCCCGUACCGAAUUAUUUUUGGUAACGAUUCGGUACCAACUUUUUGACGUUUUUGGUAGCGGUACUUUCGGUUAGGAAGCGGUAUUUUACCGACUUUUACUUUCAAAUACCAGUACCGGUACCGAGCUUAUCCUUACUAUGAAUACAUGUUUUAUUUACUUAUAGCCGAAGGAGUAAACUUUAUUGUUCCCUAAACCUAAGUUUAUUUUUAACUAUAGAGUCACACAUCAAAUUUGCAACAGUUAACGAAGAUGAAAAGCCACAAUUUCAUCGGUCUUGCAAUGCAUAAGGAGCUCCUUAGAUGCAUGAAAAGAGGUAUGGCUAAUGCGUCUGAACAAAGCCGGAAGUUGCCAAACGUGGAGCAAUGAAGAUUUUGAAGACCACUCACUUAAGGAACCAUGUUGUUGUGUGAAGAGUAGAGGAAUACUCGGCUUUGAAUAUGGAUGGCAUUCGCGAAGAAUGGUCGAGUUAGGCAACAACUUUUGUUUUUAAGUGACAAACUGUAUUUUAGGUAUCAGCGAAUGUAUUGUCAAACAAUAUUUUUGUUAAUGUAAAAAUAUUUGUAGUAUAAUUGCAAAUGAUU